Molecule: ribosomal RNA, 384 nt
Filed under: uncultured bacterium
Lineage: Bacteria
Description: bacterial SSU rRNA
Rfam family: Bacterial small subunit ribosomal RNA
Source: RNAcentral
GACGAACGCUGGCGGCGUGCUUAACACAUGCAAGUGGAGCGACGAACCAGGCUUCGGCCUGGGGCAGAGCCGCGAACGGGUGAGUAACACGUGGGUAACCUGCCUCGAUGACCGGGACAACCCGGGGAAACCCGGGCUAAUACCGGAUGUGCUGCCUUCACAUCAGUGGAGACAGGAAAGGAGCUUCGGCCUCCGCAUCGAGAUGGGCCCGCGGCCCAUUAGCUUGUCGGUGAGGAAUGGCUCACCAAGGCCGCGAUGGGUAGCUGGUCUGAGAGGACGAUCAGCCACACUGGGACUGAGACACGGCCCAGACUCCUACGGGAGGCAGCAGUGGGGAAUCUUGCGCAAUGCGCGAAAGCGUGACGCAGCAACGCCGCGUGGGGG